CGGUUCAGGCGUCGGUAUACGUCU
Molecule: non-coding RNA, 24 nt
Filed under: Arabidopsis thaliana (thale cress)
Lineage: Eukaryota; Viridiplantae; Streptophyta; Magnoliopsida; Brassicales; Brassicaceae
Source: RNAcentral